Molecule: long non-coding RNA, 2672 nt
Organism: Gadus macrocephalus (Pacific cod)
Lineage: Eukaryota; Metazoa; Chordata; Actinopteri; Gadiformes; Gadidae
Exons: 5
Source: RefSeq, a predicted model, not a curated record
UCACAUAUAGGCAACAUCUUAAAUGCGAGCGUAAAACGGACGUCGAGCAGUUCACUUGGCUCUCCGCGGGGGGAGGCGAGAGGCGCACCCGGGAUAUAUAUUAAGUAGGCUGUAUGCGAUCGAGAGCCGGGGAGCCCGCGUGCGGAAAGCUGAAUGGAUGGCGCCAGCGCUACGUCACCGCGCGCCGCAGCCACGCAGAGCUCAAGACAGCGCGCGAGCCGAGCGCCAGGCUCUCACUCGUUCCGUUUCUCUGGACUCGCACGGUUCACUGUUUUUGGAGCGCGUACUCGCGACCGUCUUGACUCGCACAAACCCGCGGGGGACCCCUGGCGCGACGUUCAUCUCCCGCAGCUCACGUGGCACAGGGCUGAAUAUGGUUCACGUGUUUCACCGGGAGCCUGAGAGGACGGGUAGCCGAAGGGGUUGGCUGUUAUCUUUGGUUAUCUAGCUGUAUGAGUGGUGUACAUUCUUCAUAAAGCUAGAUAACCGAAAGUAACAAGAAUCCCAUUACACUCCUGAAAAGGCAUUGAGACCCCCCAGCGUGACUCAACGAACACCUCCGCCCACUGGCCGCCACCUGUCUCCACCAUCGACAUCAGCACCACCGCCCACUUUCCACCCUGCACACAAAGACACACUCUCUGACACCCCCCAGCCAAGCUCAAAGCCGGAGGAAGACGUCGGCUCGAGUGAGGAGCGAUCAUGAACACCUGAGGGUAUCAACACCACCACCACCACCACCACCACCACCACCACCACCAGCGCUCCACUGAGGGGACACUGGCAGAGACCAGUUUCACAACAAGGAGCGGAGGAGGGGCUGGUGUUGAUGCUGCCCUCACACUGCAUCGCCUCCCCCACCACCCACCAUCAGCCUCCCACAACACCCUCCCACCCACCAGCACCACCACCACCCCCCCCCCUCUUCUUCCCAUCCGUCCUCUCGCCCUCCUCGGCAGGCUUCGGUCCCUCGCCUUCCUGUGCUGCGGUACGCAGCCCGCGCCACCAUCUUAGAAGAACCGCGCUGGCACGAAAUGGAAGAGGAGGAGGAGGAGGGGGAGGAAUGCUACACAGCUAGCAGGCCUGGUGCUUCAUCCCGCAGAAAACAAAGAAACAAACAAAAUGGACUCCCAAUGGAAGAGGAGAACACUGUUUCAUCAUGGAACGCAAAGCUGUCGUAAUGUCAGAAGCCACUCCACAUGCUCUCCAUGGACUUAACAUGUGCACCAACAGUAUUACCCUACAGCCCCCUGUGUUAUCUGUUCAAAGCGGUGCAUAGCACUAUUCUAUCACAGUAGAUUUCCAUGCAGGAGAAUCAGGAAUCAUUUUCAACAAGAUGAUGCAGUAGAGGGAAUGAUGGAACUGUGCUAUUUGGGUUAGAAAUGCAUUUGUCACGAAGAUUCCUCUGUAUCACAACUGUUAACAUUCCUAUCUACAUAAUUUUUACAUAAUAGAUUAAUUCUGAAUUACUUAACUUUUGGCUAACUUUAGUUACAUUUAUGUUCUAAAGAUUGUAGAUGCUGGGAAGACAUUUGAAUGUGUCACCCAUGGCAGCAGUGAAGGAUAAUGCGCUGUGAUUGGACGGCUCUUUGUGUCAGCUGACACAAUGGAUGACGAGUGAGCUGUCGUCUUUAUACUCUAUGCAACUGUUUAUUUUUGUUAUCUUUGUGUGUAUGUGUGUGUGUUAUUUAGCUCAUGAGUUGAAUUACGUUUAUAAAAGGAGGACUACCGCUUCAGACUACUGAUGAAAAUCAUUUAAAGGAGUCUACAGUUAAAGCACUAAACGUUAGGGCACCAAAAUACGAUUUACACGGCAUGUGCUGCCCGUGAGUGUGGGCGAGCUUUCACAAGUGGAGUGCACUUCUUAAAAGAAUGGCAUUCAUUAAGACCUCACAUUUAGCUAGGCUCGUGGAUUUGUCUCUGACAAACCCUGAACUGUUCUCCACACGGCUCCCUGCUGACGUUAAUCAGGUUCAGCAUUUAUACAUGAAGUAUUUUUGAUGGCACAACUGUGUGUGGUACACGGGUGGUGGAGGCUGAACCAGGCUCAAUACAGCCCAUGUGAUUAAAUCCUAGCUUUCAAGCUAACCAGGCUUUGAGAUGCUUGGCUUUUUCCACGUGCCAGCUAACAGCUACAUUCCAGUAGCUAGAAGCCACCACCUAUCAGCUACUAGCUAUUAGUUAGCCACAAGCUAGCAGCUACUAGCUACCAGUUAUUAGCUAGCAAUUACUAGCUAUCAACUAGUAGCAAUCGUCCAGCAGCUACCAGCUAUCAUCUAGAAGCUACCAGCUAGUAGCUAUUCGCGUGUCGGUAAUACAUCUUCAGAUGAAACAUGCCUGAUACAGUGGUCUAAAACAUUGCCUUAAUUUCCUGACUUUGACAUUGAUCACAUGUUCACUGCACACAUAUUUCCACAUCCACAUCCACACACACAUACAGACACACACACACACACACACACACACACGCGCGAGCGCGCGCGACCAAGCACGCAUGCAGUCACAAACGUACACACGCACGCACGCACGCACACACACACACACACACACACACACACACACACACACACACACACACACACACACACACACACACACACACACACACACACACACACACACACACACACACACACACACACACACACACACACACAGACAAAAGCAAUAAA